GGGGCCGUAGCGCAGAGGUUGUCGCGCCGCAUUUGCAAUGCGGAGGACGUCGGUUCGACUCCGGCCGGCCUCC
This 73-nucleotide transfer RNA is filed under the name Pyxidicoccus fallax. It matches the Rfam family "tRNA". From Rfam's summary of the family: Transfer RNA (tRNA) molecules are approximately 80 nucleotides in length. Their secondary structure includes four short double-helical elements and three loops (D, anti-codon, and T loops). Lineage: Bacteria; Pseudomonadati; Myxococcota; Myxococcia; Myxococcales; Myxococcaceae. The record is from Rfam by way of RNAcentral.